GCUCCUAUCGUUUAAUGGUUAAGACAAUGCUUUUUCGUGGUAUAAAUGUGAGUUCGAGUCUCACUAGGAGUA
This 72-nucleotide transfer RNA is filed under the name Gelidiella fanii. RNAcentral's name for it is "tRNA-Glu". It matches the Rfam family "tRNA". Rfam says of the family: Transfer RNA (tRNA) molecules are approximately 80 nucleotides in length. Their secondary structure includes four short double-helical elements and three loops (D, anti-codon, and T loops). Lineage: Eukaryota; Rhodophyta; Florideophyceae; Gelidiales; Gelidiellaceae. The record is from RNAcentral.